Coffea eugenioides is the source of this 119-nucleotide ribosomal RNA. NCBI's taxonomy places the organism in Eukaryota, Viridiplantae, Streptophyta, Magnoliopsida, Gentianales, Rubiaceae. The record is from RefSeq and is a predicted model, not a curated record.
GGGUGCGAUCAUACCUGCACUAAUACACCGGAUCCCAUCAGAACUCUGAAGUUAAGCAUUCUUGGACGAAAGUAGCACUAGGAUGGGUGACCCCCUAGGAAGUCCUCGUAUUGCACCCC